RNAcentral lists this transfer RNA (70 nucleotides) under Salmo salar (Atlantic salmon). It matches the Rfam family "tRNA". From Rfam's summary of the family: Transfer RNA (tRNA) molecules are approximately 80 nucleotides in length. Lineage: Eukaryota; Metazoa; Chordata; Actinopteri; Salmoniformes; Salmonidae. The record is from Rfam by way of RNAcentral.
UCCCGUGUGGCUCACUUGGUAGAGCAUGACGCUUGCAACGCCAGGGUUGUUGGUUUGAUUCCCAUGGGUG